GCCUGGAUAGCUCAGUCGGUAGAGCAUCAGACUUUUAAUCUGAGGGAGGGUUCAGUCCCUGUUUGGGCG
Molecule: transfer RNA, 69 nt
Filed under: Pangasianodon hypophthalmus (striped catfish)
Lineage: Eukaryota; Metazoa; Chordata; Actinopteri; Siluriformes; Pangasiidae
Rfam family: tRNA
About the family: Transfer RNA (tRNA) molecules are approximately 80 nucleotides in length. Their secondary structure includes four short double-helical elements and three loops (D, anti-codon, and T loops).
Source: Rfam by way of RNAcentral